RNAcentral lists this ribosomal RNA (792 nucleotides) under Cardinium endosymbiont of Paraiberobathynella cf. maghrebensis. Its description in RNAcentral is "bacterial SSU rRNA". It matches the Rfam family "Bacterial small subunit ribosomal RNA", at positions 603 to 1399 of the family's 1533-position model. Lineage: Bacteria; Pseudomonadati; Bacteroidota; Cytophagia; Cytophagales; Amoebophilaceae. The record is from RNAcentral.
UAGUGCUUAACGCUAGAACUGCAAUUGAUACUGGUAGGCUUGAGUUAAGAAGAGGUAAGUAGAAUUUAUGGUGUAGUAGUGAAAUGCUUAGAUAUCAUAAGGAAUACCAAUAGCGAAGGCAGCUUACUGGUCUUAUACUGACGCUGAGGCAACGAAAGCGUGAGGAGCAAACAGGAUUAGAUACCCUGGUAGUCCACGCCGUAAACGAUGAUCACUCGAUAUACAUGUAAUUCAUGUGUGUCCAAGCGAAAGCGUUAAGUGAUCCACCUGGGGAGUAUACUNGCAAGGGUGAAACUCAAAGGAAUUGACGGGGGUCCGCGCAAGCGGUGGAGUAUGUUGUUUAAUUCGAUAAUACGCGAGGAACCUUACCUGGGCUAGAAUGUGUUUUGCAACCUCAAGAAANUGAGGGCUCCUUCGGGACGGAAUACAAGGUGCUGCAUGGCUGUCGUCAGCUCGUGCCGUGAGGUGUUGGGUUAAGUCCUAUAACGAGCGCAACCCUUUUACUUAGUUGCCAGCACGUAAUGGUGGGGACUUUAAGUAGACUGCCCGUGUAAGCGGGAGGAAGGAGAGGAUGAGGUCAAGUCAUCAUGGUCUUUAUGCCCAGGGCUACAAACGUACUACAAUGGCGUGUACAAAGGGAAGCUACUUGGCAACAAGAUGCAAAUCUCAAAAGCACGUCUCAGUUCGGAUUGGGGUCUGCAAUUCGACCCCAUGAAGUUGGAAUCGCUAGUAAUCGCGUAUCAGCAAUGACGCGGUGAAUACGUUCUCGGACCUUGUACACACCGCCCGUCA